AGUGGAUGGGGAGCAACCUAGUUGUGCGCGUGUAAAGGUAGUGCCAAGAAAAGCGAUGAUCAUGUUGAAAAUCAAUUCCCGGUACCCGAAACCGACACAGGUGGGCAAGUAGAGAAUACUAAGGGGCGCGAGGUAACUCUCUCCAAGGAACUCGGCAAAAUGACCCCGUAACUUAGGGAGAAGGGGUGCCACCGAGAGGUGGUCGCAGUGAAGAGGCCCAGGCGACUGUUUAGCAAAAACAUAGGUCUCUGCAAACUCGAAAGAGGAGGUAUAGGGGCUGACGCCUGCCCAGUGCCGGAAGGUUAAAGAAGUUGGUCAGUUUUAGGAUGAAGCUAGCGACUGAAGCCCCGGUGAACGGCGGCCGUAACUAUAACGGUCCUAAGGUAGCGAAAUUCCUUGUCGGGUAAGUUCCGACCCGCACGAAAGGCGUAACGAUCUGGGCGCUGUCUCGGAGAGAGGCUCGGCGAAAUAGGAUUGUCUGUGAAGAUACGGACUACCUGCAUUUGGACAGAAAGACCCUAUGAAGCUUUACUAUAGCUUGGAAUUGUGUUCGGGCUUCCUGUGCGCAGGAUAGGUGGGAGGCGUAGAAGGUAUUCUUGUGGGGAUACUGGAGCCAACGGUGAGAUACCUCUCUCAGGAGGCUAGAAUUCUAACUUAAUUAAGGACAGUUUCAGGUGGGUAGUUUGACUGGGGCGGUCGCCUCCAAAAAGGUAACGGAGGCGUACAAAGGUUCCCUCAGACUGAUUGGAAAUCAGUCGAAGAGUGCAAAGGCAGAAGGGAGCUUGACUGCGAGAAGUACAGUUCGAGCAGGGUGGAAACACGGUCUUAGUGAUCCGACGGUGCUGUGUGGAAGGGCCGUCGUUCAACGGAUAAAAGUUACUCUAGGAUAACAGGCUGAUCUCCCCCAAGAGUUCACAUCGACGGGGAGGUUUGGCACCUCGAUGUCGGCUCAUCGCAACCUGGGGCGGAAGUACGUCCCAAGGGUUGGGCUGUUCGCCCAUUAAAGCGGUACGUGAGCUGGGUUCAGAACGUCGUGAGACAGUUCGGUCCAUAUCCGAUGUAGGCGUGAGAAUAUUGAGAGGAGCCUUCCUUAGUACGAGAGGACCGGGAAGGACGCACCGCUGGUGUACCUGUUAUGAUGCCAAUUGUAAACGCAGGGUAGCCAAGUGCGGAGAGGAUAACCGCUGAAAGCAUCUAAGUGGGAAGCCCACCUCAAGAUGAGUAUUCUGGUGUAAGGUCACGGGAAGACGACCCGUAAAUAGGCACGAGGUGGAAGUGCAGAGAUGUAUGAAGCCGAAGUGUACUAAUAGACCGUCGGCUUGA
RNAcentral lists this ribosomal RNA (1323 nucleotides) under metagenome. RNAcentral's name for it is "bacterial LSU rRNA". It matches the Rfam family "Bacterial large subunit ribosomal RNA", at positions 1561 to 2925 of the family's 2925-position model. The record is from RNAcentral.